GUGGGCGACUCAAGAUUUUUUUUUAUCUGUUGCAAUAAUGGAGGCAUCGGAGAGGAUGCCGUUGUGGGUUUUGAACUCUCCCUAUACCUCCACAGAAAAUACCAAUCGCCAUCGCUUCAGAUAGUAAAAAAUAAAAAUAAAAAUAAUAUAGUAUAAAAAAUAAUAUAAAAAUAAAAUAAAAAUUAGCAAUCGAUUUUGCAAUCAAUAUUAAAAAUAAAAAUAAUAUAAAAUAAAAAUUAAUGA
This 243-nucleotide long non-coding RNA is filed under the name Elaeis guineensis (African oil palm). RNAcentral describes it as "long non-coding RNA (EGUI_LNC012149)". The record is from RNAcentral. Lineage: Eukaryota; Viridiplantae; Streptophyta; Magnoliopsida; Arecales; Arecaceae.